AGUGAACGCUGGCGGUAGGCCUAACACAUGCAAGUCGAACGGCAGCACAGUAAGAGCUUGCUCUUACGGGUGGCGAGUGGCGGACGGGUGAGGAAUACAUCGGAAUCUACUUUUUCGUGGGGGAUAACGUAGGGAAACUUACGCUAAUACCGCAUACGACCUACGGGUGAAAGCAGGGGAUCUUCGGACCUUGCGCGAUUGAAUGAGCCGAUGUCGGAAUAGCUAGUUGGCGGGGUAAAGGCCCACCAAGGCGACGAUCCGUAGCUGGUCUGAGAGGAUGAUCAGCCACACUGGAACUGAGACACGGUCCAGACUCCUACGGGAGGCAGCAGUGGGGAAUAUUGGACAAUGGGCGCAGGCCUGAUCCAGCCAUACCGCGUGGGUGAAGAAGGCCUUCGGGUUGUAAAGCCCUUUUGUUGGGAAAGAAAAGCAGCAGGUUAAUACCCCGCUGUUCUGACGGUACCCAAAGAAUAAGCACCGGCUAACUUCGUG
RNAcentral lists this ribosomal RNA (492 nucleotides) under uncultured bacterium. Its description in RNAcentral is "partial 16S ribosomal RNA". It matches the Rfam family "Bacterial small subunit ribosomal RNA", at positions 29 to 507 of the family's 1533-position model. The record is from RNAcentral.